UCAGCGAUAUUAAUGAGGCUAAAGUACAAUUACAAUUCCAGAAAGUAAAUGCAACGACUCGAAAGGUAAAAACCCAAAUGAAAAUGCAUUCCAGAAAGUAAAUGCAACGACUCAAAAGGUAAAAGCCCAAAUGAAAAUGCAGAAAUAUUGAAAGUAAGAACUAGGAUUGAUUGAAGAAGGAGAUGAAGCAUGAUCUAGGAUUGACUGAAGAAGGAGAUGAAGCAUGAUCAUAAUACGUAUAAAUUAUUCUUACUUUUGUGAAGCUCUUCUUCUUUUAUUUCUCAGCCCAACAGUUUGUGUGACAUCCCUAUUGGUAUUGACCCUAGGCAGAUUUGUAAAUAAAUGCUCAAAGAUCGUUUCACUGAUUUUUUGUCAAACUUGUAAUAUAAAUACGGAAAAAGGUCAGAACUAC
Molecule: long non-coding RNA, 412 nt
Filed under: Solanum tuberosum (potato)
Lineage: Eukaryota; Viridiplantae; Streptophyta; Magnoliopsida; Solanales; Solanaceae
Description: long non-coding RNA (STUB_LNC001733)
Source: RNAcentral